Molecule: long non-coding RNA, 2527 nt
Filed under: Eucalyptus grandis
Lineage: Eukaryota; Viridiplantae; Streptophyta; Magnoliopsida; Myrtales; Myrtaceae
Description: long non-coding RNA (EGRA_LNC000042)
Source: RNAcentral
UUGAUGAUGCGCGGUCCGAAUUAUAUGGGUUAGAGGUUGUUGUUCACUGCGAUUUGAUUGCUCCGAUUGUUGGCCACUUGAUAUUAGCCAUUCUGUAGUGACCCCCGGUUUACUCAUCAGUAAUGGAGAGAAGACGGAGACGCUCAAAAAUGGACUUUUGUGAGUAAUUUGUUCAUGAUCAGAUGACAAUUCUAAUGGGUUCAAAUUCUUACCAUCAGACUGUCGGUAACUUCUAGUGUCCGUGAAGGAUUUAUUUGUGUUGGUUCGAUGAGAAGUAGGUCUCUUUGAUUCGAUCUGCAUAGGCUUCUUGUGGAAGAGCUCGUUGCUGUUUUGAAUCAUCAGGCUGCGUAUACAUCUUCUGUUCUUUCUCUUCUCCAGUCGAAUGCGACAAUGGUUUCGACAUAUUCAUAAGAAAAAAUCCAUCUUAGAUUGCAUAAUUUGUUUCUGUGGAUCACUGAUGACAUGUUGAGGCUGUCGAGUUUCUUUAUGUUGAGGCUGUUGAGUUUCUUUGAAUGGAGUUCAUGAUUAAUUGCUGGAGGAAACUAUUCAGUUGUCGUCUCGCACCAUGUUAGCUGCACAUGGUGUGUGAUAGUCAAUGACAAUGUGCUAUCUAAAACGGCGAUCUUUCCUGACUUAUCUUGUGAGGACAUGGAUUUCGCCAUGUUCAGGGGUGGCAUGUUGUUGUUGGCUGUCACACACCACAUCAAUGCGUGAGUUCAUGCAUCACAGCUCUGACUAUCUUCUUGGUGGCUUGUUUACGGGUGUCUUGUAUCUGCCUUCAUUGAGCUGACUUUGACCAUUGCACCUUACGGUCAAAUCUGAUACCUAAUGCGAAUUUUGGUUAUAGUGUUGUCUUAUUGCUGUUGGGGGCAUUAGCCUUUAUUGCUGCCAGUAUAUGAUUGAUACAGAUGGUAUAUAAUUCUUUAAGAUCAAUUUGUGGGAGUUUCUUUACUUGAUUGGGUUGUCAGAUUUAUAGAAUAUUAAGAAUAACAGCUGUCUAGCUUUGUAGACUAUGUUAUUUUUAAUNNNNNNNNNNNNNNNNNNNNNNNNNNNNNNNNNNNNNNNNNNNNNNNNNNNNNNNNNNNNNNNNNNNNNNNNNNNNNNNNNNNNNNNNNNNNNNNNNNNNNNNUGCUUGUUAAAUAAUAUUUAGAGUAGCUUUGCCAAAAGCCAGUCAUCUGGUAUGUCUUUUUCAAGUGCUAUAAGUUGGUAUUAUCCAUUCUAUUUUGCUCUGCUACCAGCUUUAUUUUCUUUUUAUUCAUCUUGGGCAUUGUGUUAAUCGAUGUCAUUCAGUCAAAAAUCAUUUUGGCCAAAUUAAUUCUUACAAUAGCAGCCAUCAGAAUUGGGAUACUUACAGCUUUGACUGUGGCUAUAGACUUUGUUCUCAAGCCAUUAUGUAAUAUUCUUUUUCCUGAAAAAGGACAUAUUAGUAAUGCAGGCCGGGAACAAGAAAAUAACUCUGUCCAGGGCAAGACUUUGUGAAUGCUUGUUGUGGUAAGAUCAUGGCCUUACAAAGUUUGUUAGGUCGAGGAUAAAUUAUCUGGUAAAUUGACUAUAACCGAACAAAAAUUCUAUUUUCAACUUAAUUAGAUCUGCUAUCUCUAGAAUCUCUUGCUUGAAAACCUGCUGCUGAGAGAAAGCUGAUGUAAGAAACCUUUUCUUCACGGUUAACAUCAGCAUGACAUUUGGAGUGAGAACAAUCUUAUGGCUAGGAAUGUCAUACGGAUUUCACAUGGUCUGAUUUUUGAAGCUUUUGCUAAAUGUAAUAUGCCAUCAUUGGCUUGUGCGUGCACAUGUUUUGUGUUUUCCAAAGAACCAGCUGUAUCUGUUGCAGCCUUACCAUGUCUCGAAUCUCCCUUAUGUUUUGAGAGUUUCACCUUUCUACUUGCUGUCUUUACCAAUACAAAUUCUUGCUCAUGACUGAUGUUAUUUUUCUGUAGUCCCUUCUUAUGGCAUCGUUUCACUUCCACUUCUUUUUUUGACAUCAGAACAUAAGUCUUCUCCUUCAUAGGCUAUCAUCUUCAGAAGAGAUGCGUUGUUAGAAAGAUGCCCAUUAAUAUUCUUUACCUUAUUGCUGAAGGUCCUCACUAGCAUUCUGUCACAAGCUAACCUCCUAUAUCUGCUUUUACUUUACUCAUUAAAAAUUUUGUUCAUAUUUCCCUUGGGCCUUCAUUUUUCUAAUAGCAUAGAAUGGCAAUUAUUCUUUUUCUUGUGUUGUGUGAGGUGCGAUGCACUGGACCCUGACCUUUCUUGCUUCUAUAUUUUGCAGCUGUGUGGCUAAUCUCCACGGUUCAGGUAGCAUGUUUAUGGACUGUUGAGAAGCCUGUAGGAGAUUGAGAGAAAUUGGCCAAAAAGAUUUGAGUAGUUGAUGUCUGUUUUAUUAGGUUAAUGUUAAUGACUAUUUCCUCUUAUCUGGGGAUGCUUGCUGUUACUUUCCAGUAUCAUUUACUAGUUGAUGCAGGUAAAAGAGAACAAGAAAAUGCUGGUGUGUAUAUUUUGGCCAUGACUCGUGAACUUGUUUGCUAGUAGA